RNAcentral lists this ribosomal RNA (253 nucleotides) under uncultured bacterium. RNAcentral describes it as "partial 16S ribosomal RNA". It matches the Rfam family "Bacterial small subunit ribosomal RNA", at positions 524 to 776 of the family's 1533-position model. The record is from RNAcentral.
UACAGAGGUCCCAAGCGUUGUUCGGAUUCACUGGGCGUAAAGGGUGCGUAGGCGGUCGGGUAAGUCUGGCGUGAAAUCUCCAAGCCUAACUUGGAAACUGCGUUGGAUACUAUCCGGCUCGAGGAAUGGAGAGGAGACUGGAAUACUUGGUGUAGCAGUGAAAUGCGUAGAUAUCAAGUGGAACACCAGUGGCGAAGGCGAGUCUCUGGACAUUUCCUGACGCUGAGGCACGAAAGCCAGGGGAGCAAACGGG